GGAUGACAAGAAUUGCAUUCACUCUUCAUGUGACAACUCACAGCUGAAAGAAUCUCAAGUAUUUUUUGGGAAUCUACAUAUCAAGAAUAAUAAAAAUUGCAAGAAAACUCAUGAGGGAGCGCAGAAGGAAGAAGGAAUAUAUGAACAAGUCUCCACACAGCAAAUAUCACCUCCAGUCAUAUUCAUACAAGAUAACGAGAUGACCCCUCUGCCACUUUCCUUCAAAGUUGAAACAGAGCUUGGGAAACAAACAGGAGAAGGUAGAAGCCAGCAUGCUACUAGAAAACCAUGAUUUGGCUGCCUUCACUGAAACCUGGUGGGAUGAUUCCCACAUUGGCUACAAGAUGUUCAGAAGGCAC
Long non-coding RNA from Gallus gallus (chicken), 359 nucleotides. NCBI's taxonomy places the organism in Eukaryota, Metazoa, Chordata, Aves, Galliformes, Phasianidae. The record is from Ensembl.